This 434-nucleotide ribosomal RNA is filed under the name uncultured bacterium. Its description in RNAcentral is "partial 16S ribosomal RNA". It matches the Rfam family "Bacterial small subunit ribosomal RNA", at positions 27 to 507 of the family's 1533-position model. The record is from RNAcentral.
GAACGAACGCUGGCGGCAUGCCUAACCCAUGCACGUCGAACGAGACCUUCGGGUCUAGUGGCGCACGGGUGCGUAACGCGUGGGAACCUGCCCUUAGGUUCGGAAUAACUCCCCGAAAGGGGUGCUAAUACCGGAUAAUGUCUUCGGACCAAAGAUUUAUCGCCUUUGGAUGGGCCCGCGUUGGAUUAGCUAGUUGGUAGGGUAAAAGCCUACCAAGGCGACGAUCCAUAGCUGGUCUGAGAGGAUGAUCAGCCACACUGGGACUGAGACACGGCCCAGACUCCUACGGGAGGCAGCAGUGGGGAAUAUUGGACAAUGGGCGAAAGCCUGAUCCAGCAAUGCCGCGUGAGUGAUGAAGGCCUUAGGGUUGUAAAGCUCUUUUACCCGGGAUGAUAAUGACAGUACCGGGAGAAUAAGCUCCGGCUAACUCCGUG